AACGCACAUUGCGCCCGCCAGUAUUCUGGCGGGCAUGCCUGUCCGAGCGUCAUUUCCCCCCUCACGCGCCCCGUUGCGCGCUGGUGUUGGGGCCCCUCCGCCUGGCGGAGGGCCCCGAAAGCGAGUGGCGGGCCCGGCUGGCUGGCUCCGAGCGCAGUACUGAACGCAAGUUCUCUCCUCUCGCUACGGAAGCCCCGCCGGCGCCCUGCCAUGCAAAUCGCGCAUGACGUGCAACUCUUUUUUACAAGGUUGACCUCGGAUCAGGUAGGACUACCCGCUGAACUUAA
Molecule: unclassified non-coding RNA, 287 nt
Filed under: uncultured fungus
Lineage: Eukaryota; Fungi
Description: partial contains 5.8S ribosomal RNA, internal transcribed spacer 2, and large subunit ribosomal RNA
Rfam family: 5.8S ribosomal RNA (bases 1-52)
Source: RNAcentral